RNAcentral lists this ribosomal RNA (255 nucleotides) under uncultured bacterium. Its description in RNAcentral is "partial 16S ribosomal RNA". It matches the Rfam family "Bacterial small subunit ribosomal RNA", at positions 99 to 354 of the family's 1533-position model. The record is from RNAcentral.
CGGACGGGUGAGUAACGCGUGGGGAACCUGCCUCAUACAGGGGAAUAACAGUUAGAAAUGACUGCUAAUGCCGCAUAAGCGCACAGCGUCGCAUGACACGGUGUGAAAAACUCCGGUGGUAUGAGAUGGUCCCGCGUCUGAUUAGGCAGUUGGCGGGGUAACGGCCCACCAAACCGACGAUCAGUAGCCGACCUGAGAGGGUGACCGGCCACAUUGGGACUGAGACACGGCCCAAACUCCUACGGGAGGCAGCAG